RNAcentral lists this non-coding RNA (90 nucleotides) under Alterileibacterium massiliense. RNAcentral's name for it is "TPP riboswitch (THI element)". It matches the Rfam family "TPP riboswitch aptamer (THI element)", at positions 8 to 91 of the family's 105-position model. Rfam says of the family: Vitamin B(1) in its active form thiamin pyrophosphate (TPP) is an essential coenzyme that is synthesised by coupling of pyrimidine and thiazole moieties in bacteria. The previously detected thiamin-regulatory element, thi box was extended, resulting in a new, highly conserved RNA secondary structure, the THI element, which is widely distributed in eubacteria and also occurs in some archaea. The record is from RNAcentral. Lineage: Bacteria; Bacillati; Bacillota; Clostridia; Peptostreptococcales; Anaerovoracaceae.
UGCAUGGGGUGCUAAAUUUUGCUGAGAUAGGAUAAUUUAUAUCCUAGACCCACUAACCUGAUAUGGAUAAUGCCAGCGUAGGAAUUGCCU